This 1384-nucleotide long non-coding RNA is filed under the name Lotus japonicus. Its description in RNAcentral is "long non-coding RNA (LJAP_LNC000155)". Lineage: Eukaryota; Viridiplantae; Streptophyta; Magnoliopsida; Fabales; Fabaceae. The record is from RNAcentral.
GAGAGGUUACAGAGAAGCUUUAGCACUCACAUAAAUCACAAUAUAUUGUUGAGUUAGUUAUAUUGUUUUAAGUUAGUUUUUGGUGGAAACUCUUGAGUGUUUGUUUUGAGUGUGAGGAGAUUAAGUUUUGGGAGCGGAAACUAGAAUCUUGAAGCAUAACAUUUACGAAAGCGAUUAAUUUUUCUAAGAUCCGAAGGGUCACGAGGUUCGCAACUUCUAUGCACUACUCAUGAAGGUAAGGGUAACUCAGUAUAGAAGUGUCAUUGAGUCUUGUCUGCUUUAAUUGCACUGCUUGUUGACUGUUCUGAGGCUUUUGCCAAAUGUUUUCUAAGGCUUCGGCCAUUGUUAAACCUUAAGGCUCACACCUUCGUUUUCUGAGGCUUAGGCCAUUGUCCAUUGCUUAAUGAUUUACUUGAUGAGUUAGUAUACAUAAUUGAAUUGACUUAUGCUUGUUGGAAAUAUGAAUAACAUGUGGUUAUUCUGUCUUGAUUAUUGGACUUGGAACUAUUGAUUAAGUGGCCACUGAGUUUGAUGAGAUGUUGUUGACUAACUUUGGCAUAUAGGGCUUGAACUUGAAGUGGCAAUGUGGUGGUGAUUGUCCCACGUGAUUGUCCCGUCUUUUGGGGCAUUAUAAAGUGGCGAGGGUUAUUAAGUGACAUUCAGAAGUUUUCGUUCUCCGUCUGUCCCGUCUUUCAUGGGCAUUAAUAAGUGGCAUUCAGGAGUUAUCGUUCUCCGUCUGUCCCGUCUUUCAUGGCCGUUAUUAAGUGACAGUUCAGGGGUUUUCGUUCCUCGUCUGUCCCGUCUUGUGAGACAUUAUUGGUCGAUCCAUUUUGGUAGCAGCAUAUAGCUGCAUUUUAGGCACUAACGUUUGAUUUUGUUGAUAUCUGGUUUAACACUAUAUUGUUGGAUGUGUUGGCUUCUGUCCUGAAUUAAAUUGCUCGCUUACUUACCAUAUUAUGUUGUUGGUAUUGAAUAACAUGUUUUUCUCUUUUAUGUGAAGUGAUUGCAUGGAGUUAACCCUUUCUGUUUUCUACUUGUUGUUUUGGCGCUUAACGCUAUUAGACAAUGGAGAUUCUUCCGAUGACGCUUAGUCAUGCACGAGAUGUAGAAGGGAUAGUAAGCGGCGGAGUGAAGAUGGAAGGAGAAGUUUGAUUUUCCUUUGGGAGCUGUAUUUGAGUCUCCUUUGUUAUCUGAAAACUCCAUUACUAAAAUCCCGCGUUUGCCACUUGCUAAGUGUGCGUACUUAUUUUGAAACCUGUUUAUGAUAUCGUGAAUUACUAUAUGACUAUGUAUAUUAUUAUUAUGUUGGUUACAGGUUUAAUUUUGAGGGUUAUGCUAUGUUUAGAAAUCUACAGUGGAAGUGUUUUAUCAAACAAGAGACAGG